CCUACGGGAGGCAGCAGUGGGGAAUAUUGGGCAAUGGAGGAAACUCUGACCCAGCGACGCCGCGUGCGGGAUGAAGGCCUUCGGGUUGUAAACCGCUUUCAGCAGGGAAGAAGCGAAAGUGACGGUACCUACAGAAGAAGCACCGGCUAACUAUGUGCCAGCAGCCGCGGUAAUACAUAGGGUGCAAGCGUUGUCCGGAAUUAUUGGGCGUAAAGAGCUCGUAGGUGGUUCGUCACGUCGGAUGUGAAAAUCUGGGGCUCAACCCCAGACCUGCAUUCGAUACGGGCGAUCUAGAGUGUGGUAGGGGAGACUGGAAUUCCUGGUGUAGCGGUGGAAUGCGCAGAUAUCAGGAGGAACACCAAUGGCGAAGGCAGGUCUCUGGGCCAUUACUGACACUGAGGAGCGAAAGCGUGGGGAGCGAACAGGAUUAGAUACCCUGGUAGUCCACGCCGUAAACGGUGGGCACUAGUUGUGGGAACCUUCCACGGUUUUCUGCGACGCAGCUACGACAUAAGUGCCCGCCGUCGGGUAGGUACGAGUCGCGAAGAAUAAACUACAAUAGAAGUUAGUACGGACGUGAGACGUGACCGACGGACGACGACGAGGGAGGUUAGG
RNAcentral lists this ribosomal RNA (615 nucleotides) under uncultured bacterium. RNAcentral describes it as "bacterial SSU rRNA". The stretch from base 1 to 523 matches the Rfam family "Bacterial small subunit ribosomal RNA", at positions 338 to 873 of the family's 1533-position model. The record is from RNAcentral.